Molecule: ribosomal RNA, 253 nt
Filed under: uncultured bacterium
Lineage: Bacteria
Description: partial 16S ribosomal RNA
Rfam family: Bacterial small subunit ribosomal RNA
Source: RNAcentral
UACGAAGGGGGCUAGCGUUGCUCGGAAUCACUGGGCGUAAAGCGCGUGUAGGCGGUUGUCCAAGUUGGAUGUGAAAGCCUUGAGCUUAACUCAAGAAAUGCAUUCAGGACUGGAUGACUAGAGGACCGGAGAGGAUAGUGGAAUUCCCAGUGUAGUGGUGAAAUACGUAGAGAUUGGGAAGAACACCAGUGGCGAAGGCGGCUAUCUGGACGGUUUCUGACGCUAAGACGCGAAAGCGUGGGGAGCAAACAGG